This 1514-nucleotide long non-coding RNA is filed under the name Limulus polyphemus (Atlantic horseshoe crab). RNAcentral describes it as "uncharacterized LOC111086862, transcript variant X4". Lineage: Eukaryota; Metazoa; Arthropoda; Merostomata; Xiphosura; Limulidae. The record is from RNAcentral.
UUACCUGUAAUAAAACAGAGAAAAUGGUCGAAAUUGAUUUUAAAAAGUGUUUUGAAAAAUUACAGUAGUUUCAGGGCUUGUUAGAGAGAUAAUAGUUGAUUUUUCCAGAUUGUUUAUGUACAGAACUACAUUUCGAGUAUCGAAUGAAUAUUGUCUUGCCAAGUUACCAGUCAAGGAGGAUCUUAUCAUCAUAAUAGAUGAAUCAGGAACUAAGUGAUAAGAGAAGUGUAUGCUUGUUGCAACUGUAGCCAGAAAUCUGUAGUAUAUGUAAAGUUCUCUUUUAAUGCACGGCCUGAUUGUUACGGAGCUCGACUCACAAUCUGAGGGUCAUGAGUUUGAUUCCCCAUUACCGAACAUGCUCAUUCUGUGUGGUUGCCAUCUGGACCGUCCACCUGGGUGUAAAAAUUCUUGGCUUACAAGAUUACCAGCUGACUCCAAACUAUUGAGAUUAAGGUUUUUACGGAAAAAAGACAAAGAAUAAAAGAGCAGGAAAAGUAGACAGUGUUUUUUGUAAUAUCUGUGGAAAACAAUAUUCCUCAAAAAAGUCUUUAUCAGCACAUCGGCAUUAUCAACAUAGAAGUCAUCGCAACUUCUCAUGUCAGUAUUGUGGAAAGAUUUACACUAGAAGAACAACACUACAGUAUCACCUCCUCAUUCAUAAUUAGUCUUCAUAAUAUUUUUAUUAGUGGAAGCUACUUUUUGUUUUACUUAAGUACCACGUGAAGAUCUUAACUAAAAGAACAAUUUAAUUAUCAUUUCAUCAUUUAUAACUAACUUUAUGUUGUUGCAUAUGUAAUUUUACUCUCUUUAAGAGUUGAAAAUCAUCCUUACUGGAUGAGCAUCACUGAAAUACUAAUUCACAACCAAGUUUGUAUUGUUGACCAAUUUUUCUUUAUUAUUGAAAAGCUUUUAUUAAACAUUUUUAGUAUUAGAUGCUAAUCACUAUUCCUGAUUAAGUAUUGACAGCAGAUUCCCUGUUUUUGAGAACCUUGUAAAGGUAUAUUUCAAACUUAAACCUAUGCCUAGUAAAUGUAAUAAUAUUUCAUUAAUUUUAGUGUCAUUGCUUUUAAUUGACACUUCUUAUAUAUUGUUUAAAAAAUUUGAUAAAAACAUGGUUGUUAUUGUUAUAUUUGAGUAAAUUUUGCUGUUUAAUAUAAUUUGAUAAUCUUGUCACUGUAUAGAUGUAAGAUCAUGGAGAACAAAACUGGUAUAUAAAAGUCUUUAACAAUUUAUUGUGACUUGAUUUGUUUUAUGUUUACUUCAAAAGACAGUGAGUAAAAUAUUAGCUCAUAUACAAUCCUAGUGAAGCACAAUAUUUUUGUAUGCUUUGCUGUAGUGUGUCAGUCUGUUCAAAAUUGAAAAUCUUUAUUGACACAGAUUGUAGCGUACAUGUGUCAUUUUUGAGAAAUUAGUGAUAGAAAACAAAUUGCAUUUACAAACACAAUAUCUAAUAAAAUAUGGAUGUCAAAUUAAUUAAUGAUAAGAUUUUCAUAUACAAACACAUAUAUAUUUAU